RNAcentral lists this long non-coding RNA (2425 nucleotides) under Rattus norvegicus (Norway rat). RNAcentral's name for it is "long non-coding RNA NONRATT011766". Lineage: Eukaryota; Metazoa; Chordata; Mammalia; Rodentia; Muridae. The record is from RNAcentral.
UGCUCCAGGGAGGGCCGCCCGGGCCUACCCUGCCUGGGCGCAGCUAGGCAAACUGAUGCGGUCCGGACCGGGUGACCAUGGCGGUGUUUCAUGACGAGGUGGAGAUCGAGGACUUUCAAUAUGACGAGGACACAGAGACGUAUUUCUACCCCUGCCCCUGUGGGGAUAACUUCUCCAUCACCAAGGAAGAUUUGGAAAAUGGAGAAGAUGUGGCAACGUGUCCUAGCUGCUCACUCAUUAUAAAAGUGAUUUAUGACAAAGUAAGGGGUCUAUUAAAAGGGAUGGGUGGUGUGAGCUAAUGACAAAGGCCUAAAGCAGCCUGUCUGAUAUAAAAGUGUGGAAGAGUGUUGGGUGUUUGUUUGUUUGUUUGUUGAGACAGGGACUUUAUGUAGCCCUGGCUGUACUGGGACUCACUAUGUGGACCAGGCUGGCCUUGAGUUCACAGAGAUUUGCCUGCUUUGCAUCACAAAAGCUGGGAUUAUAGGUAUACACCACCACACCCAGCCUAGAAGAGUGUUUCUUAACCCUGUGCUAAACGAAGGGCUAUUUUUACAAAGCCUUUAAAAAUUGCCAGUAACUGUUUGCUAAUCUUGUUCAAGUUUAAAUUAUGUAACUUAUGAUCACUUUGGAAGGAGCAAUAAAGAAAUUGCUUUGUAAUGAAAUUGGCGACUUAAUCAGGAAUAAAAAAUUAUCAUGAAGGUUAUUUCAUUGAUGUUCUUCCUUUUGAGAUUUCUCGUGCAUUUAAUAUUUAGUUUAGUUUGUUCAGAGCUCUAGGACAUUUUUAGAAGAUUGCAUGAUAUUGAUUGCCUGGCUUAUGUAUAGAAUCUACCCAGUUUGAGAUAUAAUUCCUGGAUGCAGUGUUACAGUUUCAUGUUCCUUUGUAUCCAGUAAGAAUGGCAAUAGGAAAGGGGUAAAUGCCUUUAUUUCCCACCCAAAGUUUAGGUAGAGCUUUGGAGUCUGAAGGGUAAAUUCUAAAAUGAGUGUUGGACAAAACACAGAACUUUGUGGGAGAAGCUGUUAUUAAUUUAGACAAUAAAAUGUAAUGAUUCAUUUUUAUAUUAAAAUGGUUUAUGGGACAAAGACCAACAGGGACAGGCUAGGGGCUGACUCUGUGGGGGAUCACUCUGUAGGAGAUGUGCAGUGACUGGGAAAGUUCUUGUGGUCGCUGGAAUAAGCCAGGAUGAAAGAUCAGAGCCUGGACUUCAUUUACAAAUAAUUACUAUUGGAGGUCUGUGUUGGGAAACACAGAGACAUUCUUUUUAUUACUCAUUUGAAGAGCUUAUGUAUUUGAAUGACCAGAUAUUGAACUGAUUAAUGUAAAACCUUGGAAGGCGUGACAUGUUUAUUUCUGGGAACUGGUGGCUCCCUAGUUAAGAUAUUUAUGUGACACUGCUUAUUAACUAGUGGCCUUAGGGCUAAACACCAGCAUACUUUUAGACACCAGUUCUCUGUACAAAAAUAAAGCGUUAUUGGGUCUGGGGAGAUGGAUUAGUGGCUAAGAGCUUCCAAAGGAGUGGGCAUUUACAUCUUCCACAUGGGGGCUUCCAGCCACCUGCAACUCCAGUCCUAGGGAAUCUGGUGCCCUCCUCUUCCCUCACAGGCACCCACACACAUGUGGGGUACACGCAUACACAUAAGUAAAAAAGAAAAAUAAGUCUUUAAAAUGUUCCUUUGUCUCCAGUUGUGCCAACUGGGAUAGCUACUGAUAUCUAUUGGAUAGAUCGAGGGCUACAAUCAUACAGCACACAGCUCAUCUCUGAACAACAGUUAGUUCUUGGUACAUAAGACUUAAACUUUGUAAUCUAAGUUUGUUGGCAUUUUUAUAAUAUUAUGAAUGGAUUUUUCCCCAAAUUUUCACAUCUUGAUUUUUUUUCAUUGCUAGCAUUAAAAGAAAGAAAGAAGGAAAGAAAGUAAGGUGACAGAACAGGGAAAACUAUAGCCAGAUUGAUUCUGUAACAAAGGAAAGUGAUGCUAAUGCAUUUGUGGCACAAAGAGCUGGUGGCCAAUAGCAUUUCUUCUUCUUCUUAGGAUCAGUUCAUGUGUGGAGAAACAGUCCCAGCUCCUUCAACCAACAAAGGGUUAGUUAAGUGCUGAGGACGCUCUCAGAACCCACAUCCAGAACAGCGGGGGCUGAGCCCAGGUGGCUGGAUCCGGUGCAGAGUUACCAACCUCCUCAGUGGGCAACUAUCCUGUGGAUGGCCUCAUGGGUGUGAUCUACAUCAGCCACUGACCUCGGCGUGAAGAAGUGAGCCUGUGACACAUCAGCCCUGGAUUCCAUGCUUACCUGACUGGCAGGAUUCCUCUCUGUCCAUCUGAAUUUAAGGAAGAGCCCUGUGAACUGAUGGUUUUUCCUUCAAUUGGUUGCAUCAUUUGAAUAUCUGAAAAUUCAUUUUCUGAAAAUAACAUCAUCCGCUCAGUCCUGAGA